AUGUGCUUGCUYAMACUUUAUAUGCCUGUCGGGCUAACMGWUCWGGAGCUUGCUYSUUUGACKUUGGCSGCGGWCGGGKGWKUAAMACGUGGGURACCUACCUAUAAGACUGGGAUGGCUUCSGGAAACCGGAGCUAAUACCGGAUAACAUUUGGAACCGCAUGGUUCUAAAGUGAAAGAUGGUUUUGCUAUCACUUAUAGAUGGACCCGCGCCGUAUUAGCUAGUUGGUAAGGUAACGGCUUACCAAGGCAACGAUACGUAGCCGACCUGAGAGGGUGAUCGGCCACACUGGAACUGAGACACGGUCCAGACUCCUACGGGAGGCAGCAGUAGGGAAUCUUCCGCAAUGGGCGAAAGCCUGACGGAGCAACGCCGCGUGAGUGAUGAAGGGUUUCGGCUCGUAAAACUCUGUUAUUAGGGAAGAACAAAUGUGUAAGUAACUGUGCACAUYUUGACGGUACCUAAUCAGAAAGCCACGGCUAACUACGUGCCAGCAGCCGCGGUAAUACGUAGGUGGCAAGCGUUAUYCGGAAUUAUUGGGGCGUAAAAGCGCCSCGUAGGCGGUUUYUUAARUCUGAUGUG
RNAcentral lists this ribosomal RNA (583 nucleotides) under marine firmicute S-10. RNAcentral's name for it is "partial 16S ribosomal RNA". It matches the Rfam family "Bacterial small subunit ribosomal RNA", at positions 42 to 596 of the family's 1533-position model. The record is from RNAcentral.